Molecule: ribosomal RNA, 464 nt
Filed under: uncultured bacterium
Lineage: Bacteria
Description: partial 16S ribosomal RNA
Rfam family: Bacterial small subunit ribosomal RNA
Source: RNAcentral
CUACGGGGUGCUCCAGUGGGGAAUUUUGGACAAUGGGCGCAAGCCUGAUCCAGCCAUGCCGCGUGCGGGAAGAAGGCCUUCGGGUUGUAAACCGCUUUCGGACGGAAAGAAAUCGCCUGGGCCAAUACCCUGGGUGGAUGACGGUACCGUAAGAAGAAGCACCGGCUAACUACGUGCCAGCAGCCGCGGUAAUACGUAGGGUGCGAGCGUUAAUCGGAAUUACUGGGCGUAAAGCGUGCGCAGGCGGCUUUUUAAGCCAGAGGUGAAAUCCCCGGGCUUAACCUGGGAACUGCAUUUGGAACUGGGAAGCUAGAGUGCGUCAGAGGGGGGUGGAAUUCCACGUGUAGCAGUGAAAUGCGUAGAGAUGUGGAGGAACACCGAUGGCGAAGGCAGCCCCCUGGGAUGACACUGACGCUCAUGCACGAAAGCGUGGGGAGCAAACAGGAUUAGAUACCCGGGUAGUC